Molecule: ribosomal RNA, 383 nt
Filed under: uncultured fungus
Lineage: Eukaryota; Fungi
Description: partial small subunit ribosomal RNA
Rfam family: Eukaryotic small subunit ribosomal RNA
Source: RNAcentral
GCUUGUCUCAAAGAUUAAGCCAUGCAUGUUCAAGUAUAGCAAGUGUACAGUGAAACUGCGAAUGGCUCAUUAAAUCAGUUAUAAUUUAUUUGAUAGUGAAAUUGCUAAAUGGAUAACCGUGGCAAUUCUAGGGCUAAUACAUGCGUCAAUAGUCUCCGGACUAGUAUUUAUUAGAUACAAAGCCAGCCGUCAGGAUUAGGUGAAUCAUGAUAACUAAACGAAUCGCAAGCGCAAGCGGCGAUGGUUCAUUCAAAUUUCUGCCCUAUCAACUUUCGAUGGUACGGUAUUGGCCUACCAUGGUUACCACGGGUAACGGGGAAUUAGGGUUCGGUUCCGGAGAGGGGGCCUGAGAAAUGGCCACCACAUCCAAGGAAGGCAGCAGG